CCCUUAGAUGUUCUGGGCCGCACGCGCGCUACACUGAUGCAUUCAACGAGUUUCUUCCUGGUCCGAGAGGAAUGGGUAACCUUUUGAAAGUGCAUCGCGAUAGGGAUAGACUAUUGCAAUUAUUGGUCUUCAACGAGGAAUUCCUAGUAGACGUAGUUCAUCAGACUGCAUCGAUUACGUCCCUGCCCUUUGUACACACCGCCCGUCGCUCCUACCGAUUGAAUGCUCAGGUGAGCCAUUCGGACCUUCAUCAUGCCGGUUUCCGGUUUUGAUGAGGGAAAGUCUUGCGAACCUUAUCAUUUAGAGGAAGGAGAAGUCGUAACA
This 324-nucleotide ribosomal RNA is filed under the name uncultured eukaryote. Its description in RNAcentral is "partial 18S ribosomal RNA". It matches the Rfam family "Eukaryotic small subunit ribosomal RNA", at positions 1470 to 1796 of the family's 1831-position model. The record is from RNAcentral.